Molecule: long non-coding RNA, 1042 nt
Organism: Drosophila nasuta
Lineage: Eukaryota; Metazoa; Arthropoda; Insecta; Diptera; Drosophilidae
Exons: 2
Source: RefSeq, a predicted model, not a curated record
AUUUUUAGUAAUAUUUAUAGUAUUAUAUUAUAAAUGCAAUAUGGGUAAUUCCACGACGGAAUUUGUCCCGUGCGAGACUCUUUACGUUAAAAAUAACAUAAACUGAAACAAUUUUAAAAAUAAAAAAGGUUAUUUUGAUAGCCCUAGAUAAGUACUUUAAUUAGAGCUAAGAAUGGCUUUGGAAUUUUCUUUCUGUUUAGUUUUCGGUUCUGAUAAUUGCAAAAAUUUACAAAUUCGUACGCAAAACCAAAAAAAGGACGAAUAUAUAUAUUUUAUCGUAAAACAGAACAAGUUCCUAAAAUCAAUCUUAACUCUAAAUAUAGUGCUUAUCUAAAGCUUUAGGAACAACAUUCACUUAUUUUUAAAAUUGUUUCAGUUUAUGUUAUCUUCACUGUAAAGGUUCUCGCACGAGACAAAUUGCAUAUGUUUUUCUUAUUAAAUAUAAUUUUUAAAUAUUGAACAACAAAAAUAGUAAUAAAUUAGUACACAUCCGUAUAUUGUGUUAUGUAUACUCGUAUUAAGUCACUUUUAGCGCGCCAAUUUUGAAUUUACUGUGUGGAAUAUAUGUAUGUAUUAAAUUAGCUGAUACGGAUAACAUUAAUUACUGUCACGAAUCGCACUUGAGCACUUAGAACUGGCGUUUUCUGUGGUCGCUUGGUAAAUUCAAAGUGCAGCAUUUGGCAGAACUAUGGCAGAGGCUCCAUUUGUGACGUGUGGAUGGCGUAACUGAUGACGCUGUUCGACGAGAGCGAGGAGAGCGCGUGGCACAUCCAUUGUUUGAUCAUCCACAAGCACAAUAUCAAAGGUAUUCAUAUACUUGUCCAUAUUUGCUUCCACGUGAUCAAAUAGAAACCCUAUUUUCAUGAUGUGAGAUGAAGCGGGCACACCGUUGGCCAUGUCCGCAUCGCCGAGAGAGUCACCCAUGACAAUGAUGUGAUCACGUGUGUGUACAAGCUCAUAAUACUCGCUGCCAUCCAAUACCGUUUCAUUUUUGUUGAAGGUGUGAAUCAUCGGCUGCUGGAAGCCAUCGAGCACCCCGUCG